Molecule: long non-coding RNA, 892 nt
Organism: Helianthus annuus (common sunflower)
Lineage: Eukaryota; Viridiplantae; Streptophyta; Magnoliopsida; Asterales; Asteraceae
Exons: 3
Source: RefSeq, a predicted model, not a curated record
UCCUCUACCGGCCGUCUCUACAUUGCCCACGUUUCUCUCUUCUUGUUUACAGGUCUAGGAUGAAGUGGAGAAGACGAGGUAUGGCUGUUCAUCACCGUAGAAGUACCGACCCGCUCGGUUAAUGCUUCUUCAUUGGCGCCAUCCGUGGGACCGCACGAACCACAUCUUGUUUCUUCUCCUCCCUAUUUUUUAAAUAUGUUUUGUUGAAGUUUCGAAUAUAAGAAUUUCGUGGGUUUUGUUCCGGUUCUGGAUUUAAAAAAAAAAGUCAGAUCUGGGCUAUCUUUUAAAGUUUUAUGUGGUUUGUACUUUGGGAUAUGUGCUCACCCAUACUUUAAAAACUAAUUUUGAAUCGGAAAUCUUGAUAUGUUUACUCAUUUCAGUUAUUCGUCAAGAUUCAUAAAUUAGCUUUCCAAUAAACAUAUUUUCGGAUGAGGAAAAUUGUCCACGAACCAUUUUUACAUAAAGUGCUAUUUACGUACAAGGAAAAAGCAUAUUGAGUAGCCCCCACUUCUCAUCUUUAUAUCCAUGAUUAUCGUCAUGCUAGGAGGCUCUGAUGACCACGCUUCACACCAUCGGCUGUGUCCGCCCCCCGCGUCCAGAAUCCAGGCGUAAAGGAAGAACGUACAAGCACCACGAAACCGGAAGGAGCACAAGAUCGAGGUAAAACUCCACUAUAGGCGAUUUGGAGAUAUGGAGCGAGCACGUGUUCAAGCCUUAUUAUACCAAGCGCUUCCGCUAGGUUAUAUGCAUACUUUUGGGUCCAUGUCUUGUUACUUUGUUAAAUUAUGUUAGAAGUCUUACAUUUGAAAACUUGUUGUUUUUGUUGGGGUAUUUUAAUGCUAAUAGGGUCGUAGGUGAAUGUUGUCUAUUAUGUCAAAAACAGGGGGCAUGU